Molecule: unclassified non-coding RNA, 381 nt
Filed under: Hevea brasiliensis (rubber tree)
Lineage: Eukaryota; Viridiplantae; Streptophyta; Magnoliopsida; Malpighiales; Euphorbiaceae
Source: RNAcentral
AACCAGAACCAGAACCAGAACCAGAAAUGAGACCCUGUGUUCCAGUUUCAGUCUUCUCAAACCUUGAACUAAAACCACUGAUUCCAGCCCAGCCCGACGGCCACCCCUAUAUCCAGGCUCUCAUAGGCUAAAAUUCAUAAUAGCCCAAGAUAUUUGAUCUCUUAAACACUUUUGACCUAUUUUAGGUGGAAGAAACCUAAAACUCAAGAGAAGAUUGGCCAGCAGGAGGGAUCCAACCACUAGUUCCAUAGUUUUCUAUUGCAUUCAUUUUUUAAGAUAACAUACUAGUAUAUCAAGUUAACCUUAACAACACCUAGUUAAAAGCAAAGGCAUAUAAUCAAGUCUAGGUUGCCACCACCUGCAAGCAUCCCCCAUCAGAAA